Molecule: ribosomal RNA, 437 nt
Filed under: uncultured bacterium
Lineage: Bacteria
Description: partial 16S ribosomal RNA
Rfam family: Bacterial small subunit ribosomal RNA
Source: RNAcentral
AGCGAACGCUGGCGGCAGGCUUAACACAUGCAAGUCGAGCGGGCAUCCUUGUGGUGUCAGCGGCAGACGGGUGAGUAACGCGUGGGAACGUGCCCUUCGGUUCGGAAUAACUCAGGGAAACUUGAGCUAAUACCGGAUACGUGCGAGAGCAGAAAGGUUUAUCUGCCGAAGGAUCGGCCCGCGUCUGAUUAGCUAGUUGGUGAGGUUAUGGCUCACCAAGGCGACGAUCAGUAGCUGGUCUGAGAGGAUGAUCAGCCACACUGGGACUGAGACACGGCCCAGACUCCUACGGGAGGCAGCAGUGGGGAAUAUUGGACAAUGGGGGCAACCCUGAUCCAGCCAUGCCGCGUGAGUGAUGACGGCCUUAGGGUUGUAAAGCUCUUUUCUUCGGGACGAUAAAGACGGUACCGGAGGAAUAAGCCCCGGCUAACUUCGUG